AGAACGAACGCUGGCGGCAGGCUUAACACAUGCAAGUCGAACGCGUGUAGCAAUACACGAGUGGCGCACGGGUGAGUAACGCGUGGAUAUCUGCCUUUUGGUUCGGAAUAACCCCGGGAAACUGGGGCUAAUACCGGAUGGUUCCUACGGGAUAAAGAUUUAUCGCCAAAAGAUGAGUCCGCGUCCGAUUAGCUAGUUGGUGGGGUAAUGGCCUACCAAGGCGACGAUCGGUAGCUGGUCUGAGAGGACGAUCAGCCACACUGGGACUGAGACACGGCCCAGACUCCUACGGGAGGCAGCAGUGGGGAAUAUUGGACAAUGGGGCAACCCUGAUCCAGCCAUGCCGCGUGAGUGAUGAAGGCCUUCGGGUUGUAAAGCUCUUUUGGCGGGACGAUGAUGACGGUACCCGCAGAAUAAGCCCGGCUAACUUCGCGCCAGCAGCCGC
This 445-nucleotide ribosomal RNA is filed under the name uncultured bacterium. RNAcentral's name for it is "SSU rRNA". It matches the Rfam family "Bacterial small subunit ribosomal RNA", at positions 26 to 518 of the family's 1533-position model. The record is from RNAcentral.